Non-coding RNA from Cinara cedri, 282 nucleotides. The record is from the annotation of a GenBank genome assembly. Lineage: Eukaryota; Metazoa; Arthropoda; Insecta; Hemiptera; Aphididae.
CUUCUGCAGCUUUCCUCAAUCCUCAUGGCACAUCUAGUUAAGUCCUUCUCUCAAGGCUUUUAUACAGUAGUCCCAAAGCAGUCUUAAUCUUCUCUGAGGUCUCUGGCUAGUCAGAUUAUCCUCGUUGGUUAUUUUAAUUAUGAAACCUAUUGUCGUAACGUAUACCUUCCUCAAAUCAGCUUCCUUAUCCUAAUUUCCAUUUAAAUGUCCAGUCUCUGGAACAGCUUUUCAAAUUCAUGGUUGUACCGUUCUCACAAUUCUCCUGUAUAGGUUUCGAUGCAG